GCUCCUGUAGCUUAGAGGUUAAGCACCCGGCUCAUAACCGGCAUUUACCCUGGUUCGAAUCCAGGUGGGAGCA
Molecule: transfer RNA, 73 nt
Filed under: Caudoviricetes sp.
Lineage: Duplodnaviria; Heunggongvirae; Uroviricota; Caudoviricetes
Description: tRNA-Met
Rfam family: tRNA
About the family: Transfer RNA (tRNA) molecules are approximately 80 nucleotides in length. Their secondary structure includes four short double-helical elements and three loops (D, anti-codon, and T loops).
Source: RNAcentral